UUGAACGCUGGCGGCAGGCCUAACACAUGCAAGUCGAAUGGUAACAGGAAACAGCUUGCUGUUUCGCUGACGAGUGGCGGACGGGUGAGUAAUGUCUGGGAAACUGCCUGAUGGAGGGGGAUAACUACUGGAAACGGUAGCUAAUACCGCAUAACGUCGCAAGACCAAAGAGGGGGACCUUCGGGCCUCUUGCCAUCAGAUGUGCCCAGAUGGGAUUAGCUAGUAGGUGGGGUAACGGCUCACCUAGGCGACGAUCCCUAGCUGGUCUGAGAGGAUGACCAGCCACACUGGAACUGAGACACGGUCCAGACUCCUACGGGAGGCAGCAGUGGGGAAUAUUGCACAAUGGGCGCAAGCCUGAUGCAGCCAUGCCGCGUGUAUGAAGAAGGCCUUCGGGUUGUAAAGUACUUUCAGCGGGGAGGAAGGGAGUAAAGUUAAUACCUUUGCUCAUUGACGUUACCCGCAGAAGAAGCACCGGCUAACUCCGU
RNAcentral lists this ribosomal RNA (488 nucleotides) under uncultured bacterium. Its description in RNAcentral is "partial 16S ribosomal RNA". It matches the Rfam family "Bacterial small subunit ribosomal RNA", at positions 30 to 506 of the family's 1533-position model. The record is from RNAcentral.